This 69-nucleotide transfer RNA is filed under the name Aphyosemion gabunense (Gabon killifish). RNAcentral describes it as "tRNA-Gly". It matches the Rfam family "tRNA". From Rfam's summary of the family: Transfer RNA (tRNA) molecules are approximately 80 nucleotides in length. Their secondary structure includes four short double-helical elements and three loops (D, anti-codon, and T loops). Lineage: Eukaryota; Metazoa; Chordata; Actinopteri; Cyprinodontiformes; Nothobranchiidae. The record is from RNAcentral.
AUCUUUCUAGUAUAUUUAGUACCAGUGACUUCCAAUCACUUGGGCCCGGUUAAAAUCCUGGGAAAGAUA